Salmo salar (Atlantic salmon) is the source of this 629-nucleotide non-coding RNA. The record is from RefSeq and is a predicted model, not a curated record. Lineage: Eukaryota; Metazoa; Chordata; Actinopteri; Salmoniformes; Salmonidae.
UCCCUUUAACAUAAAGCAAAAUAUGCUUCAGAACGGGAGACCUAAUUUGAAAUCAUAAGUAUCCCAACAAUCAAACAUAUGGCACAUUACAACUUACAGAAAUUACAGCCUAUAAUAAUUUGUUCUUUUUUGGGGGGUGGUGUAUGAGUGCGGACACAGUCCCCCACUACCACAAAUUAUGAAGUAGAGAUUCCCACAUCUGGGGAAUUUGAGGGAUCAGCUCGUCCAGAGUGCAAUGGCCGAACCUCGCCCUGGGUGAACCUCCUUCGUGAUCAAGGUGUCUCCCCUGCCAGAAGCGCUGCUCAGCAUCCUGGAACUUCUUGUCCAGGAUGGACACCAUCUUCCUCACCACCUUCAUGAUCAUGUAGUUGUUCAGGACACUGCUCAGGUGGACAUGGUGUUGAUGUUUGGAUCAUCUGAAGCAGCAGAGAGAUGCAAGUCGUUCUGGGACUGACCGCCAGAUCCUUUGCCUGGAUCUUAUGGUAAAUUAGCUCCUCGUCCCUCCUCUCCUCCUGGGGUACGGUGAUGUUGGCCAGGGUGGUCUCAAAGUCCACAAUUUCCUGCAUCAGCGAUCUGGACGUCUCCUGUGAGCCCCCCAACAGGACCCCUAACUCCACCAGGAAGUCUAG